This 73-nucleotide non-coding RNA is filed under the name Roseovarius indicus. RNAcentral describes it as "Roseovarius sp. B108 Singlet oxygen resistance RNA X". It matches the Rfam family "Singlet oxygen resistance RNA X". From Rfam's summary of the family: SorX (RSs2461)like SorY is a singlet oxygen induced sRNA that counteracts oxidative stress by targeting mRNA for a transporter in Rhodobacter. It also has an impact on resistance against organic hydroperoxides. Lineage: Bacteria; Pseudomonadati; Pseudomonadota; Alphaproteobacteria; Rhodobacterales; Roseobacteraceae. The record is from Rfam by way of RNAcentral.
ACCCGUUGCAUGUGCGGGUCAUCACAUGCACCUCCCUGUUGGACUGCCCCGGCCAUUGCGCCGGGGCUUUUUU